This 108-nucleotide small nuclear RNA is filed under the name Ophiophagus hannah (king cobra). The record is from RNAcentral. Lineage: Eukaryota; Metazoa; Chordata; Lepidosauria; Squamata; Elapidae.
GUGCUCGCUUCGGCAGCACAUAUAUUAAAAUUGGAACGAUACAGAGAAGAUUAGCAUGGCCCCUUGUGCAAGGAUGACACACAAAUUCCUGAAGCGUUCCAUAUUUCA